Molecule: long non-coding RNA, 1099 nt
Filed under: Bos mutus (wild yak)
Lineage: Eukaryota; Metazoa; Chordata; Mammalia; Artiodactyla; Bovidae
Description: lncRNA (ENSBMUG00000015201.1)
Source: RNAcentral
UCCCUCUCUGGCCCCCCUCAAGACCUCUCCUGGGCCCGGCACACACACACGUCUCCGUUUGCCUUGUCCCACCAUCUCAAGGCCCCUCCUGGUCCUGGAACAACACACACACACACACAUCUCCGUUUGCCUUGUCCCCCCUUCUCAAGGCCCCUCCUGGGCCCGACACACACACACACACACCUCUCUCUGUUUGCCUUGUCCCCGCAUCUCAAGGUCCCUCCUGGGCCCGCCACGUGCGCGCGCACGACACACACACACGCACACAUCUCCGUUUGCCUUGCCCCGCCUCAAGGCCCCUCCUGGGCCCAGCGCACACACACACACACACACACACACACACACACACACCUCUCUGUUUGCCUUGUCCUCCCGUCUCAAGGCCCCUCCUGGGCCCGCCGCGCACACACACACACACACGCACACGCACACCUCUCUGUUUGCCUUGUUCCCCCAUCUCAAGGCCCCUCCUGGGCCCGGCACAUACACACACACACAUGCACACCUCUCUGUUUGCCUUGUCCCCCCGCUUCUCAAGGCCCCUCCUGUGCCCAGCGCGUGCACACACACACACACACGCACACACAAACGUCUCCGUUUGCCUUGUCCCCACUCCCAGGUCCUCCCUGUAGGGGAACCAAAGAGGGGGUCUCCACCCCCAGGGAGGCCCACCCCUCAUUUAACGGCCCCCUCCCCUGCACUGCGCAGUGGCAGCCGGUUUUUCCUGAAGGCUGAGAGAAGGAAACACACACCCGCUGUGCCUCCGCAGAGCAGGGAGUUCCCCAUCUGUCCCCUCCGAGCGGCGCCCGACGUCCUGAUUGUCACUGAAGCCGGGGCUCAGGUGGAAGUGGCUGCUUGGAGCUGGAGCUGGGGUUCAAGAGAGGCGAAGGCAGCUCCUCCCUCCUCUUCUCCACGCACUCAGCGUCCACUCAAGCCUGCCCUCCAGGAGCUCAGUUCCAGGCUCCUCUGCCACUCCUCCCCGCCACAGCCACCUGCACCCCCCGCCCUGCAGUCAUCUGCUGCCCCUUACCCCUGCCCGGCCUGUCUCCGCAGUCCUGGCUCAGUCCUGGGGGCUGGAGGAUGGGGGGCUUGGUCUUCC